This 450-nucleotide ribosomal RNA is filed under the name uncultured bacterium. RNAcentral's name for it is "partial 16S ribosomal RNA". It matches the Rfam family "Bacterial small subunit ribosomal RNA", at positions 354 to 796 of the family's 1533-position model. The record is from RNAcentral.
GUGGGGAAUAUUGGACAAUGGGCGAAAGCCUGAUCCAGCCAUGCCGCGUGUGUGAAGAAGGUCUUCGGAUUGUAAAGCACUUUAAGUUGGGAGGAAGGGCAGUAAGUUAAUACCUUGCUGUUUUGACGUUACCGACAGAAUAAGCACCGGCUAACUUCGUGCCAGCAGCCGCGGUAAUACGAAGGGUGCAAGCGUUAAUCGGAAUUACUGGGCGUAAAGCGCGCGUAGGUGGUUUUGUAAGUUGGAGGUGAAAUCCCCGGGCUCAACCUGGGAACUGCCUCCAAAACUGCAAGACUAGAGUACGGUAGAGGGUAGUGGAAUUUCCUGUGUAGCGGUGAAAUGCGUAGAUAUAGGAAGGAACACCAGUGGCGAAGGCGACUACCUGGACUGAUACUGACACUGAGGUGCGAAAGCGUGGGGAGCAAACAGGAUUAGAUACCCUAGUAGUCC